GAAAAGGGGCUGGGGUCUAAUGGGCUUAAGGCCCGAGGGAAGGGAAAGGGAAAGGCCGGAUGGGCCUGGUUUUGCCGAGAAGGAGAAGGCCGGAGAUUCGGCCGGAAAACCACCCAACUUUAAACGGCUAUAACUUUGUCACUACUCGACGAAAUUAAGCGAGACAAAAACGAAAGUUGUAGCCCUUGAAGAGACGAAGAGAAUGAUACCUCACACGACAUCUAACUCGCCGUGGUUUGGCCGGAAAACGCCUCGAAAGCCGUCGGACUCGCCGGAAACUGGGUAAGAUUCAAAUGAGUAUAACUUUUCCAAUACUCAACGAAAUUGAGUGAAACAAAAAGGAAAGUUGUACUACUCGACGAGACGAAGAGAUUGAUACCUUGCACGCCGGCCAAAUCGCUGUGGUUUGGCCGGAAAUGGCCUCGAAAGGGGCGGUGCUCGCCGGAGCUUACUCCGUGUCGUCGAACUCGCAGGGCAGGGUCUGGGGUUCGUUGCGAGCCUCUCUUCGAUGGUGACUCGGUCCUAGUGAGUCCAGGGGAAGAGAGAGAUGCGAGAGGUUGAGGGAGAGAGGUACGGGAUAGCUGAGAGGGAGAGAGUUAAGGGAGAGUUACGGGGGAGAGAGACGAAGAAAAAGGAAGAGAGAGAUGGGAGGCUGGGGACAGAAAUCAGGGGUGGGUCCCCCUUGGCUCACCAAUUAAGACUAACAAUAUUUUAAAAAAGAAUGGGGUGGGGUGUUUCAAUCUACCAUCCUUAUAAAAAAAUUUCGUCCUCGAAAUUUAAAAUAACAUACUACGCUGAAAAUACUCGAAAAUAGGAAGAAGAAAAAUAAUAUACAUAUAUGUAACGAAGAGAUCAGGUAAGAGCGGUUACACAAAAGGGAAAAUGCCACGCUGUCGUGAUCGGCUGCAAUGAUUCCAUCUUUCGUGCUCCCAGGCUCAUACUUUCUUUCCCCAUCAGUGUAAAAAUAGAAAACAUACUUUAAUAAAAUAUAAAGUCGAAAACACAAAAUAAUUUAAGGUCAGAUAACGCCAACAUAGAUAAGUAAUAACAUAUAGGCCAAAAACUCGAAUCAACUUAGAAAUGAAAACAGAAUUACUUUUCCAAAGACAUUUGUAACGCCAAAACAAUUAACUAGAGUAAAGGGAGUUCAAAAUACUUAUACUGAAAAUCAAAACUAAAAAAAUAAGAGUGGGUCUCGUCCAAGAAUUCAAGAUGUCACGUACUCCGAAAAUAGAUGUCACUUUAGGGCGAGUCCCAAGAUUAACAAUUCCGAAUCUGCAUCAGCUGCUGGAGACGAAUCUUCUUGCCCACUUGCUUAACGAACCCAACAAAUAAACUAUCGAUAUCACAGUCUGCAGCCCGCAAUAUCGACCUCACAUUUGUCUCGAUAAGCAAGUAGUAAUUUAUCAAAAGGGUGCACAAUUUCACAUAUCGUAGGAUCGAUCCUCCAAAUACAAGUUCGCAAGACUUUUCAGUCAACUAGUGUUGUCCAUGAAAAACUAUCGUACCAGGUCGUAAAAAGUGCCAUACACCAAACCGAACAAAACAGAAACUGUCCUCGUAAAACUUUAUCCAGCACCAAGCAUCCUAUCCUCUUCAGUUCUUCCAAAUGUGACCAGCAACUCCAAAAUUUUGUCAACGACGAACUCACUUGAUAACCGUACCUUGAUAUACCGAUGUGAUGCCUAUGAAUUCUAGUAAGAUGUUGAUACAAUAUGCUGACCUUUGUACUAAAACCUUCAACCAACUCUUACUAAAAGACCGCUUAAACCUCGUACCCACGUGCUCUCGAACUAAAGGAUCCUGGUGAGAGGUAGUGGAAAGCUACGCUGCGGUGCGUUGAGGCGAACACAUCACAUCAUCGAAAAGAUCUACCAGAGUACGAUAUGAUGGCGAUGAAGAUAAUGAUGCAAUCUGCUGAUCAACUGCACUACAAUCUUCACCAGUUUCUUACCAAAAGAUGACUUAAACUUCACACCCACGAGGAACUUUUUCUGGUAAGUCUGGUAAGCUUGUCAAAAUAUUAUGCUCCCAACAUUCCUGUCCAAAACAAUAAGAAUUGGGCGCACACUUCCGCCGAAUCGAUCGAUCGUGAAUUCCUCACUGAUUGAGCGAGAAACCAUGUCGAGAAGGCUAAAAGAACACUCAAGAAUUUGAGAGUCAAAACAAGUCCAUUAAAACUGGAGUACAAGAUAUUGCGAUUNNNNN
RNAcentral lists this long non-coding RNA (2208 nucleotides) under Malus domestica (apple). Its description in RNAcentral is "long non-coding RNA (MDOM_LNC002308)". Lineage: Eukaryota; Viridiplantae; Streptophyta; Magnoliopsida; Rosales; Rosaceae. The record is from RNAcentral.